Molecule: ribosomal RNA, 464 nt
Filed under: uncultured bacterium
Lineage: Bacteria
Description: partial 16S ribosomal RNA
Rfam family: Bacterial small subunit ribosomal RNA
Source: RNAcentral
CCUACGGGCGGCAGCAGUGGGGAAUCUUCCGCAAUGGGCGAAAGCCUGACGGAGCAACGCCGCGUGAUCGAAUGAAGGCCUUCGGGUUGUAAAGAUCUGUUGACAGGGACGAAUAAGCAAUGCAAAUAGUUUUGUGUAUGACGGUACCUGUGUCGAAAGCUCCGGCUAAAUACGGGCCAGCAGCCUCGGUCAUACGUAGGGGGAAAGCGUUGGCCGGAAUUACUGGGCGUAAAGGGCGCGUAGGUGGGCGCUUAAGUCAGGAGGGAAAACUCCGGGCUCAACCUGGAGACUGCACUUGAAACUGGGUGUCUUGAGGGCAGGAGAGGAAAGUGGAAUGCCGAGUGUAGCGGUGAAAUGCGUAGAUAUUAGGAGGAACACCAGUGGCGAAGGCGACUUUCUGGACUGUACCUGACGCUGAGGCGCGAAAGCGUGGGUAGCGAACGGGAUUAGAUACCCUAGUAGUC